This 550-nucleotide ribosomal RNA is filed under the name uncultured bacterium. Its description in RNAcentral is "bacterial SSU rRNA". It matches the Rfam family "Bacterial small subunit ribosomal RNA", at positions 355 to 896 of the family's 1533-position model. The record is from RNAcentral.
UAGGGAAUCUUCGGCAAUGGACGGAAGUCUGACCGAGCAACGCCGCGUGAGUGAAGAAGGUUUUCGGAUCGUAAAGCUCUGUUGUUAGAGAAGAACGUUGGUAGGAGUGGAAAAUCUACCAAGUGACGGUAACUAACCAGAAAGGGACGGCUAACUACGUGCCAGCAGCCGCGGUAAUACGUAGGUCCCGAGCGUUGUCCGGAUUUAUUGGGCGUAAAGCGAGCGCAGGCGGUUCUUUAAGUCUGAAGUUAAAGGCAGUGGCUUAACCAUUGUACGCUUUGAAAACUGGAGGACUUGAGUGCAGAAGGGGAGAGUGGAAUUCCAUGUGUAGCGGUGAAAUGCGUAGAUAUAUGGAGGAACACCGGUGGCGAAAGCGGCUCUCUGGUCUGUAACUGACGCUGAGGCUCGAAAGCGUGGGGAGCAAACAGGAUUAGAUACCCUGGUAGUCCACGCCGUAAACGAUGAGUGCUAGGUGUUAGGCCCUUUCCGGGGCUUAGUGCCGCAGCUAACGCAUUAAGCACUCCGCCUGGGGAGUACGACCGCAAGGUUG